GUUUAUAUAUGCAUAAUAAUCAAUUAAUUACAGUUGUUUUGAUUGUUGCUCUCACAUGAUAUAUUUUGCAUUAUUGAUUAAGCCAAGAUGGUAUGCAAUGUUUGCCUUAAUCUCAGUUUUGUUUUGUUAUUUAUAGGAGCUGUGGAAAAUUAUUCCUUCACCAAUGAAAUGAUGUGAAAUAAGGCUUGCAUGAGCAUUUUCUCAAGACUAUGAAUAGGCAAAUAAAUACUGACAAUGGAAAAAUUGCAACCAGACUGAGCCCAGGACAACAUAAAAUGUAACCACAAGCUCUAAAAUGUUAUUAAAAUGUGACUUAUUCAGCAUAAAAUGAAAAGGAACACUAUAGUCACCAGAACAACUACAGCUUAAUGUACUUCUGGUGAGUAUGGUCGGUCCCUGCAGGCCUUUUGCAGUAAACACCGUCUUUUCAACAUAGGGACACAUCCAGUGCUACACAAUGAGCAGCACUGACAUUCAAUGUCUCCAUCCUCUAAACUUUCCUCAUAGAGCUGCUUUGAUUCAAUGCAUCUCUGAGGAGAUGCUGAUUUGCCAGUCCGAUGUUUGGUUCCGCCCUCUGCCCGCUUCUUGGAAGAUAAUCAGAAUUUACAAUCUCAGCCAAUCCAAUGCUUUCUUGUGGGAAAGCAUAGUGAUUGGCUGAGGUCAUCACUUCUGAUGAGGUCAGCUAAGAAAGCAGAUCAGGGGCAGAGCCAGCACCAGCAGACUGGAAUAAAGGUAGGUUUUACUAUAUUUAGGGGGGGGCAAAUGGUGAGCCGGGGGGGCAUGAUAGUGUUUUUAAUUAACACUAUAGGGUCAGGAAUACAUGUUUUAUUUUAUAAUAAAAAAUAAUGCAUAUAUAUAUUAUAUAUCUUGUUAUGCAUUUUAUUAAUAUUAUAUUAUAUCAUGCAAAAUGUGAGGGCCCCAGUGUGCAUUUUAUCUGCUAGCUAUUUACCUUACUGUUUUUUUUUUCUUUGUUCAGAUAAGCACUACAAUGUGCAGCUGUAUUUCAGAUUCCUCUAUUUAUUCAUGUAUGGUAUGAAAUAUUUUGUCAUGAAAAUUAAGGAAAUAUGUUGGAAAAAAACAAUAUUAUUUUAAUGCUGUGGAUUUCUGUUAAUG
Non-coding RNA from Pelobates cultripes (western spadefoot toad), 1113 nucleotides. The record is from the annotation of a GenBank genome assembly. NCBI's taxonomy places the organism in Eukaryota, Metazoa, Chordata, Amphibia, Anura, Pelobatidae.